UUCAAGUGUGAGUUUUAAGCUAAAACUAUUAUAAGUUAUGUUCUUUAAAAUUAAAAAAUUUGGCGGUAUUUUAGUCUUUUCAGAGGAACCUGUUUUUUAAUCGAUAAUCCACGAUAACUAUUACUUUAGUUUUAAAUUUAUAUAUCGUCGUUUAUAAAAAUUUUAGGAGAAUUAUAAUUUUUGGGAUUUUUUAUGAGAAAUUAAUUCAGAUCAAGGUGUAGUUUAUAUUAAAGUUAAAAUGGGUUACAUUAUAAUUAUAUGUGGUUUUGUAUUUUAAAAUUAUGAAUAAAAUGGAUUUGAAAGUAAGUUCUUUAUUUUUGAGAACUGAUUAAGCUCUAAAAUAUGU
RNAcentral lists this ribosomal RNA (346 nucleotides) under Cheirodes sp. E148. RNAcentral's name for it is "partial 12S ribosomal RNA". Lineage: Eukaryota; Metazoa; Arthropoda; Insecta; Coleoptera; Tenebrionidae. The record is from RNAcentral.